CAUGAUCUCUGAUGGUGGAAUCUGCUGUGAUGUCCUGAACUCUGCUGUCUUCACUUCAUACACUUCAUUACAUCCCUGGGCUCCAGCUGUCUCCCGUGGUGCAGGCACUUCUUCACCAGUGGCUCUAAGAGCCUGAUCCUUGGUCAUAGCAUCACAGAGUCACGAAGGUUGGAAAAGACCUCUAAGAUCCCCAAGCCCAACCCCAACCCAUUCCCACCGUGCCCACUGACCACAUCCCCACGGUUCUGGAACACCUCUGGGGACGGUGACUCCACCACUCCCUGGGCAGCCUGUGCCAGUGCCCAACCACUCUUUUGGAGAAGUUUUUCCUAAUAUCCAACCUGACCCUCCCCUGGUGCAACGUAAAGCCAUCACCUCUCAUCCCAUCGCUGUCACCUGGGAGACCCCCACCUCGCCACAGCUUCCUUUCAGGGAGUUGUAGAGAGCUCGAUGGCUCUGUAAAGAGCUCUAUACUACUUUGAAAGACGGAUCAGCAUCAUAAGAUCCUCGUGUUUAAGGAGCCAGGAUUGAGGCUCAGGAGAGGAUGGAAAGAUUCUUACCUGUGACAUCGCUCCAUCACGGUCUGUGGUUUCUGGGCUCCGCUCUUUGUUUGGUGUUGUUCUUCUCCCACAGGAAUUCAGCUGCAAGGAUGGCUUUGAGUGCAGGCCUUGCACUUACUUUGUCUCCGUGGCCUUCUGCUCAGUUCUCGUGUUGUGCCAAACCCUGGCUGGGUUUCCAGCCCUGCACUGAUGAGCUCAGAGAUGCUCUGGUACAAAGUGCAGAUAUCCAACCCCAAGAAUUUUCUUGCCAUGAGAAUCAACCAAGGGUUGACAUUAGGCAUCCUCGUCACCAUGGGAGUCAAGCAGGGGUUGAUGCUGACCAUCCUCCUCACCAUGAGAAUCAACCAAGAAUUGACACUGGCCAACAUCCUCACCGUGGGAGUCAGCCAGGGAUUGACAGUGACCAUCCUCCUCACCAUGGGAAUCCACCAAGGAUUGACAUUGAUCAUCCUUCUCACUGUUAGAAGCAACCAAGAAUUGGCAUUGGCCACCAUCUUCAUUGUGGGAGUCAACCAGGGAUUGACACUGACCAUCCUUUUCACUGUGGGAAUCAACCAAGGAUUGACAUUGGCCACCCACGGGAAGAAUCUGAUGAAAUCUCAUCACUCAACACCCAUUGACACCAAUGUGGGCUGGAGCAGAGCUGGCAGAGCCCAGGAGGGGACCAGAGCUGCCAAGAAGCAAGCAGUUGCAUGGAUGAAGUGUUGGGGCAAACCCAUGGGAGCCCAUGGUCUGCAGUGGAGCCCAAUGGAGCAGUCUGGGCUGUAGCACAAGGACCUAUUCCCAUUCUCUGCUGCACUGCAAAGAUGGAGCUGGCAUGCUUUCUGUCUGUGCAGAAACAGCCAGCAGAGAGACCUGGACCCAACGGUUUAGAUGGGAAUGCCUUGCUGUCAGGUUGUGUUAGUGGUUCAAACAGAAAGGUACUACACAGCCAAAGCCAGGCAUAUACAACUGACAAAAAAAAAAAAAAAAGGUGAAAGCUGCUCUGGGCUCAUCAAUAACUUUCCGCACAUCCUUGCCUGUGCUCUGAGUUGAGAAAACACAGCAAUGAUCAGCACUCGGGUCAGGAUUUCGUGAGCUGUCCAAGGAGAAUUUACUCUAGCUCCUUCCUGACAGGAGACGGAGGUAUAAAAAACAAUGCAGUGACUUCUGUUCAAGCAAUAGCUGUGUAAAAUAUUGUUCAUCAGAGCUGUAAAGGUUAGCUCAGCAGAGAAAUAAGGUCUGCAGCUUUUGGCUUUGUAUCCCUUUGGGCAAUCCAUUUGCGAGUUUGUUGAAGGCAAGGAGAAAGAUCCAGUGAUUGGAAAGGGGCUGCACUCACCCCAGCACAGUCCCUGAAUUCAGCAUCUUGUUUUUUUCCAUUGGCUUUGAAGUACGUCUGGUCGAUACGGAUUUGUAAAGUGAUUGAAAGGCAUCCACUGCUUUAUCAUAAUAUUUCUCAGGCACUAAAAGUACCUCUGAGUGGCUGCAUUGCACUGACAGGACUUCUUCCUCUCUUCACCCAAAAGCCACCCACCAGCCUCAAUGCUGAGCACGAGAUGAGCAGGCUGAAGGAUGGAGAGGGGUUAAACCAACUAUCCCAAAUCCAACAGUCUCACUCCACUUCUAGCUGUUACCAGAUGGUUAUGAGGAGGGUGAGCCUGGAGUAGUUGGUUCUAGAACAUCCCAGUCACAGGGAAAGUUUCCUAAUGCUGACUAUUUCUCAGUCAUUUCUAUAGAACUCAUGGAAUCCCAGUAUGGCUUGGGUUGGAAGGGACCUGAAAGAUCAUCC
Long non-coding RNA from Numida meleagris (helmeted guineafowl), 2328 nucleotides. The record is from Ensembl. NCBI's taxonomy places the organism in Eukaryota, Metazoa, Chordata, Aves, Galliformes, Numididae.